Molecule: ribosomal RNA, 253 nt
Filed under: uncultured bacterium
Lineage: Bacteria
Description: partial 16S ribosomal RNA
Rfam family: Bacterial small subunit ribosomal RNA
Source: RNAcentral
UACGUAGGCAGCAAGCGUUGUUCGGGGUUACUGGGCGUAAAGGGUGUGUAGGCGGUUGUUUAAGUUUGGUGUGAAAUCUCCCGGCUCAACUGGGAGGGUGCGCCGAAUACUGAAUGACUAGAGUGUGGGAGAGGUGAGUGGAAUUCCUGGUGUAGCGGUGAAAUGCGUAGAUAUCAGGAGGAACACCGGUGGUGUAGACGGCUCACUGGACCAUAACUGACGCUGAGACACGAAAGCGUGGGGAGCAAAAGGG